RNAcentral lists this ribosomal RNA (270 nucleotides) under uncultured archaeon. RNAcentral describes it as "partial 16S ribosomal RNA". It matches the Rfam family "Archaeal small subunit ribosomal RNA", at positions 477 to 747 of the family's 1478-position model. The record is from RNAcentral.
CAGCACCUCAAGUGGUCAGGAUGAUUAUUGGGCCUAAAGCAUCCGUAGCCGGCGCUGUAAGUUUUCGGUUAAAUCUGUACGCUCAACGUACAGGCUGCCGGGAAUACUGCAGCGCUAGGGAGUGGGAGAGGUAGACGGUACUCGGUAGGAAGGGGUAAAAUCCUUUGAUCUAUUGAUGGCCACCUGUGGCGAAGGCGGUCUACCAGAACACGUCCGACGGUGAGGGAUGAAAGCUGGGGGAGCAAACCGGAUUAGAUACCCGAGUAGUCC